Molecule: small nucleolar RNA, 108 nt
Organism: Ornithodoros turicata
Lineage: Eukaryota; Metazoa; Arthropoda; Arachnida; Ixodida; Argasidae
Product: small nucleolar RNA U13
Exons: 1
Source: RefSeq, a predicted model, not a curated record
AUCCUUCUGGUUCAGAUGGGAAGUGAUGCGGCUUUUUUCAUGCGCUUCGUGCAUGAGACGUGCAGGGCCAAAAUGUUGUUACGACUUUCGCACGUGACCCGCCUGAUC